Oreochromis aureus is the source of this 838-nucleotide long non-coding RNA. RefSeq lists it as uncharacterized. Lineage: Eukaryota; Metazoa; Chordata; Actinopteri; Cichliformes; Cichlidae. The record is from RefSeq and is a predicted model, not a curated record. The transcript is spliced from 4 exons.
GGCACCUGUACCUUUUUAUCCUCCUGAGGUUAGGUGAAAUUCCUGCAUUUAUUUUGGAUGUUAUUUCGCAGUGAUUAGCAGGUAUCUGUCUGAGUGAAGCUCAGCAAAUAAUUGCAGGUCUCAUUUACCCAUGAUCCCGUGCUCGUCAUUCCUGAUGUCCAGAGGGGAUGAGUCCGAUUUAUCAUUGUUUCAGAUCGGAAACAAGCAAAGUGAAGCUGGGGACCUGUGCACAGCCACGGUGCGGAAGGUUCGACCCCACCGUCACUACCCUGCAGGCCCGUCGGUGUGCCAGAGUCAAAGCAUCGAGGCUGAGGAGGGAUGGAAAUGAAUCGUAAAGACCCUGGAAAAUCCAUGAGAAAAGACACACACACACUUAUCCCUGCGAUCAGAGCAUAACCGAACAUGAGCUGACAGGAAAAACAGAAGUGAGCAGACUGUGAUCGUAAAUAAAUAAUAUUUCUUGUUGUUUUCCUGUACCCUAAAACAUAUAUGACAAAUUAGAAAAUCAGUGUAAAAUCAUCUAAGACUACAUUGUGAAAAGCUUCAGGUAUUUUCUUUUUCUCUUUCUCACUCGCUUCCUGUUUUACUUUGGUAAUCUCUUUCCCUUUGAACUUCUGUCCUUUUACUUCCUGUCUUUGUCUUUUUCCCACCUUUUUGAUCGUUGCUUUCCUUAUUGGUCACUCCUGUGACCACAACAUAAAAUAGAGCUAUUUUUUACUUUCCUUAUUCUCCCUUCAUGUUCUUCUGAUCUGAUUGAAGCUUGUAAGUUUGUAUUCCCAUCUACUGAUAUUAUUUUAUUAUUAUGUUAAUUUAGCACAAGGUUCAGUUAGCUUUGCAC